RNAcentral lists this ribosomal RNA (736 nucleotides) under uncultured bacterium. Its description in RNAcentral is "bacterial SSU rRNA". It matches the Rfam family "Bacterial small subunit ribosomal RNA", at positions 8 to 760 of the family's 1533-position model. The record is from RNAcentral.
AGAGUUUGAUCAUGGCUCAGGACGAACGCUGGCGGCGUGCUUAACACAUGCAAGUCGAACGAUGAACCACUUCGGUGGGGAUUAGUGGCGAACGGGUGAGUAACACGUGGGCAAUCUGCCCUGCACUCUGGGACAAGCCCUGGAAACGGGGUCUAAUACCGGAUACUGACCCGCUUGGGCAUCCAAGCGGUUCGAAAGCUCCGGCGGUGCAGGAUGAGCCCGCGGCCUAUCAGCUUGUUGGUGAGGUAAUGGCUCACCAAGGCGACGACGGGUAGCCGGCCUGAGAGGGCGACCGGCCACACUGGGACUGAGACACGGCCCAGACUCCUACGGGAGGCAGCAGUGGGGAAUAUUGCACAAUGGGCGAAAGCCUGAUGCAGCGACGCCGCGUGAGGGAUGACGGCCUUCGGGUUGUAAACCUCUUUCAGCAGGGAAGAAGCGAAAGUGACGGUACCUGCAGAAGAAGCGCCGGCUAACUACGUGCCAGCAGCCGCGGUAAUACGUAGGGCGCGAGCGUUGUCCGGAAUUAUUGGGCGUAAAGAGCUCGUAGGCGGCUUGUCACGUCGGUUGUGAAAGCCCGGGGCUUAACCCCGGGUCUGCAGUCGAUACGGGCAGGCUAGAGUUCGGUAGGGGAGAUCGGAAUUCCUGGUGUAGCGGUGAAAUGCGCAGAUAUCAGGAGGAACACCGGUGGCGAAGGCGGAUCUCUGGGCCGAUACUGACGCUGAGGAGCGAAAGC